This 509-nucleotide ribosomal RNA is filed under the name Godzillius louriei. RNAcentral describes it as "partial large subunit ribosomal RNA". It matches the Rfam family "Bacterial large subunit ribosomal RNA", at positions 1817 to 2597 of the family's 2925-position model. Lineage: Eukaryota; Metazoa; Arthropoda; Remipedia; Nectiopoda; Godzilliidae. The record is from RNAcentral.
GGCUUUUUGCAUAGUAUAAGAGGUCGUACCUGCCCGCUGUAAUUAUAUUAUGAAGGGCCGCAGUAAUUCUGACUGUGCUAAGGUAGCAUAAUCAUUUGUCAAUUAAUUGUUGAAUUGUAUGAAUGGUUUGACGAGAAAUUAAAUGUCUCAUUUGUGUUUAUUGAAUUUUAUUUUUUAGUGAAGAAGCUAGAAUGUUACUGAGGGACGAGAAGACCCUGUAGAGUUUUAGUAUGUGUGUUUAUGAUUUCUUGUGUAAUAGAUUGUUUGUUGUAUUUAUUUUGGUUGGGGCGAUUGAUUAAGAAGAUUAUCUUGAUUUGGAGUUAAAUCAGUGUUGGUUGAGUUAGUGAUCCAAUAUUAUUGGUUAAAAGAUCAAAUUACCUCAGGGAUAACAGCGUUAUUAUGUUUUAGAGUUCUUAUCGAUAAUGUAGUUUGCGACCUCGAUGUUGAAUUAGGUGGUAGAGUGUGGUGUAGGAGCUCUCUUGAGUAGUCUGUUCGACUAUUGUAUACCU